Molecule: unclassified non-coding RNA, 312 nt
Filed under: Hevea brasiliensis (rubber tree)
Lineage: Eukaryota; Viridiplantae; Streptophyta; Magnoliopsida; Malpighiales; Euphorbiaceae
Source: RNAcentral
AAAGCCACCAUCACUUGCCUGAUCGAGCUAAGGAAAUUCUAAACCAAAGUCUUAACAAGAACGCCAAGUCCCAAUCAGUAAGACAUAUGCACCAGUUCUACAGCUAGAGCUAAUGCUGUAUGGCAGAAAAUAUUUAAUGCAUCCCCAAUGGGACACUGUAUGCAGAGAUACUUUUAAGCUUUUAAUUCGGAUAUGAACCAGAUCAUGGAGUUAAAGAUGGUAAGUAGCUUAUAAUAUUGAUAUUCAAUUCUUGCAAGAAAAGGUAUGGAGAAGUAGUACAUGUAAGUAUACUGCCCACAUGCCCACAUUGAU